AAAAGAAGAUGAAGAAGUUGGAAAAAGAGCUUAAGUUGUGGUGCUACUGCUGUUUUUCUUACUUUCUUACUUUCUUUCUAGCCGCCUGCUUGCUUACUUUUUCUUUUCUUUUUUUGGCGCAAA
RNAcentral lists this non-coding RNA (123 nucleotides) under Heterosigma akashiwo. Lineage: Eukaryota; Raphidophyceae; Chattonellales; Chattonellaceae. The record is from RNAcentral.